CCUACGGGUGGCAGCAGUGAGGAAUAUUGGUCAAUGGACGAGAGUCUGAACCAGCCAAGUAGCGUGAAGGAUGACUGCCCUAUGGGUUGUAAACUUCUUUUAUAUGGGAAUAAAACGUUCCACGUGUGGGAUUUUGUAUGUACCAUAUGAAUAAGGAUCGGCUAACUCCGUGCCAGCAGCCGCGGUAAUACGGAGGAUCCGAGCGUUAUCCGGAUUUAUUGGGUUAAAAGGGUGCGUAGGCGGAUCGUUAAGUCAGUGGUCAAAUUGAGGGGCUCAACCCCUUCCCGCCAUUGAAACUGGCGCUCUUGAGUGGAAGAGAAGUAUGCGGAAUGCGUGGUGUAGCGGUGAAAUGCAUAGAUAUCACGCAGAACCCCGAUUGCGAAGGCAGCUUACUAAACUGCCACUGACAUUGAUGCUCGAAAGUGUGGGUAUCAAACAGGAUUAGAUACCCCAGUAGUC
This 459-nucleotide ribosomal RNA is filed under the name uncultured bacterium. RNAcentral's name for it is "partial 16S ribosomal RNA". It matches the Rfam family "Bacterial small subunit ribosomal RNA", at positions 338 to 795 of the family's 1533-position model. The record is from RNAcentral.